Molecule: ribosomal RNA, 648 nt
Filed under: uncultured bacterium
Lineage: Bacteria
Description: bacterial SSU rRNA
Rfam family: Bacterial small subunit ribosomal RNA
Source: RNAcentral
GUGGGAACAUACCCUUUGGUUUGGAAUAACUCAGGGAAACUUGAGCUAAUACCGGAUAAGCCCUUGGUUUAGCGACCUUGGGGAAAGAUUUAUCGCCGAAGGAUUGGCCCGCGUCCGAUUAGCUAGCUGGUGAGGUAAUGGCUCACCAAGGCGACGAUCGGUAGCUGGUCUGAGAGGAUGAUCAGCCACAUUGGGACUGAGACACGGCCCAAACUCCUACGGGAGGCAGCAGUGGGGAAUAUUGGACAAUGGGCGCAAGCCUGAUCCAGCCAUGCCGCGUGAGUGAUGACGGCCCUAGGGUUGUAAAGCUCUUUCACCCACGACGAUAAUGACGGUAGUGGGAGAAGAAGCCCCGGCUAACUUCGUGCCAGCAGCCGCGGUAAUACGAAGGGGGCUAGCGUUGUUCGGAUUUACUGGGCGUAAAGCGCGCGUAGGCGGAUCUUUAAGUCAGGGGUGAAAUGCCGGAGCUCAACUUCGGAACUGCCUUUGAUACUGGAGAUCUUGAGUUCGGGAGAGGUGAGUGGAACUGCGAGUGUAGAGGUGAAAUUCGUAGAUAUUCGCAAGAACACCAGUGGCGAAGGCGGCUCACUGGCCCGAUACUGACGCUGAGGCGCGAAAGCGUGGGGAGCAAACAGGAUUAGAUACCCU